UUUAUGGAGAGUUUGAUCCUGGCUCAGGAUGAACGCUGGCGGCGUGCCUAAUACAUGCAAGUCGAGCGAACGGAUGAGAAGCUUGCUUCUCUGAUGUUAGCGGCGGACGGGUGAGUAACACGUGGAUAACCUACCUAUAAGACUGGGAUAACUUCGGGAAACCGGAGCUAAUACCGGAUAA
Molecule: ribosomal RNA, 181 nt
Filed under: Staphylococcus aureus
Lineage: Bacteria; Bacillati; Bacillota; Bacilli; Caryophanales; Staphylococcaceae
Description: partial 16S ribosomal RNA
Rfam family: Bacterial small subunit ribosomal RNA
Source: RNAcentral